This 275-nucleotide ribosomal RNA is filed under the name uncultured Sphingobacteriales bacterium. Its description in RNAcentral is "partial 16S ribosomal RNA". It matches the Rfam family "Bacterial small subunit ribosomal RNA", at positions 1110 to 1382 of the family's 1533-position model. The record is from RNAcentral. Lineage: Bacteria; Pseudomonadati; Bacteroidota; Sphingobacteriia; Sphingobacteriales.
UUUAGUUGCCAUCAGGUUAAGCUGGGGACGUCUAAAGGAACUGCCUACGCAAGUAGUGAGGAAGGCGGGGAGUGACGUCAAAUCAGCACGGCCCUUACGUCCAGGGCUACACACGUGCUACAAUGGCCGAUACAGAGGGCAGCUACCUGGUGACAGGAUGCAAAUCUCCAAAGUCGGUCUCAGUUCGGAUCGGAGUCUGCAACCCGACUCCGUGAAGUUGGAUUCGCUAGUAAUCGCGCAUCAGCCAUGGCGCGGUGAAUACGUUCCCGGGCCUU